RNAcentral lists this signal recognition particle RNA (219 nucleotides) under human gut metagenome. Its description in RNAcentral is "Bacterial large signal recognition particle RNA". It matches the Rfam family "Bacterial large signal recognition particle RNA", at positions 4 to 217 of the family's 256-position model. From Rfam's summary of the family: The signal recognition particle (SRP) is a universally conserved ribonucleoprotein involved in the co-translational targeting of proteins to membranes. Archaeal SRP consists of a 7S RNA and homologues of the eukaryotic SRP19 and SRP54 proteins. In most bacteria, the SRP consists of a 4.5S RNA and the Ffh protein (a homologue of the eukaryotic SRP54 protein). The record is from RNAcentral.
UACCAGCCGGGAGAUCAGCGGCCUCCUGCACCUGAAAUCCGCUAUAGCAGGGGUGGUAUCCCGGAACGAGGGUUGGCUUUGUACGGUCUGUGCCGUUUUUCGCUGUAUUGACGGACGGGUCCCAGCGCAAUCAGCGCCUGUGAACCAUGUCAGGCGGGGAACCGAGCAGCAUUAAGCAGUUUCGCUGAUGUGCCGCAGGGCUGCCUGUCCUGAGCAGCG